RNAcentral lists this ribosomal RNA (426 nucleotides) under Triticum aestivum (bread wheat). RNAcentral describes it as "partial small subunit ribosomal RNA". The record is from RNAcentral. Lineage: Eukaryota; Viridiplantae; Streptophyta; Magnoliopsida; Poales; Poaceae.
AUGAGUGACAAACAAAAGGGGCUAAUAGGAGCAGUUAAUGAAGCAUUUCUAGAUUCUGAACAUAGAUAUUGUGUCAGACAUUUGUACCAGAACAUGAACCAGCUACACAAGGGAGAAGUGGUGAAAAAUCACUUAUGGAAGUGUGCAAGGUCAAGCAAUCAAACAAAAUGGAGGGCCAACAUGGAUGCAUUCAAGGUUGAUUGUCCAGAUGCUUAUGCAUGGUUAGAAGAAAAGCCUCCCAAUGAAUGGUGUAGAGCAUUUUUCAAUGACUUUGUGAAGUGUGAUGUUCUGACAAACAAUAGUUGUGAAGUAUUUAACAGGUGGAUAUUAGAGGCCAGGGAAUUGCCUAUUCUGUCCAUGUUAGAGCACAUAGCUUGUAAAAUUGGCAACAGAUAUUACAACAAGCAAAGAGAGGCCACAGAGUAG